CCCCCCUUAGAGUUUGAUCCUGGCUCAGGAUGAACGCUGGCGGCGUGCUUAACACAUGCAAGUCGAACGAAGCAUUUAAGACAGAUUACUUCGGUUUGAAGUCUUUUAUGACUGAGUGGCGGACGGGUGAGUAACGCGUGGGUAACCUGCCUCAUACAGGGGGAUAGCAGCUGGAAACGGCUGGUAAUACCGCAUAAGCGCACAGUACCACAUGGUACAGUGUGAAAAACUCCGGUGGUAUGAGAUGGACCCGCGUCUGAUUAGCUUGUUGGCGGGGUAACGGCCCACCAAGGCGACGAUCAGUAGCCGACCUGAGAGGGUGACCGGCCACAUUGGGACUGAGACACGGCCCAGACUCCUACGGGAGGCAGCAGUGGGGAAUAUUGCACAAUGGAGGAAACUCUGAUGCAGCGACGCCGCGUGAGUGAAGAAGUAGUUCGCUAUGUAAAGCUCUAUCAGCAGGGAAGAUAGUGACGGUACCUGACUAAGAAGCUCCGGCUAAAUACGUGCCAGCAGCCGCGGUAAUACGUAUGGAGCAAGCGUUAUCCGGAUUUACUGGGUGUAAAGGGAGUGUAGGUGGCCAGGCAAGUCAGAAGUGAAAGCCCGGGGCUCAACCCCGGGACUGCUUUUGAAACUGCAGGGCUAGAGUGCAGGAGGGGCAAGUGGAAUUCCUAGUGUAGCGGUGAAAUGCGUAGAUAUCACGAAGAACUCCGAUUGCGAAGGCAGCUCACUGGAGCGCAACUGACGCUGAAGCUCGAAAGUGCGGGUAUCAAACAGGAUUAGAUACCCUGGUAGUCCGCACGGUAAACGAUGGAUGCCCGCUGUUGGUCUGAAUAGGUCAGCGGCCAAGCGAAAGCAUUAAGCAUCCCACCUGGGGAGUACGCCGGCAACGGUGAAACUCAAAGGAAUUGACGG
Molecule: ribosomal RNA, 915 nt
Filed under: uncultured bacterium
Lineage: Bacteria
Description: bacterial SSU rRNA
Rfam family: Bacterial small subunit ribosomal RNA
Source: RNAcentral